GGAUUCUCCAGUAACGGCGAGUGAACGGAGAUUAGCCCAUCACCGAAGUCCAGUGCUUUUGCAUAUAGGACAAUGUGGUGUUUAAGCUUGUACCUGGGAUUGCGAACCUACCCGAAGUCCAACUCCGAUUGUGGCUUGGAUUGUGCCCAUAGCGGGUGAGAGGCCCGUACGGGUAGGUUCUGUUGUAUGCAGUCCUCAGAUGUACUUGCUUUCGAGUCGGAUUGCUUGAGAAUGCAGUCCAAAGUGGGUGGUAAACUCCAUCCAAGGCUAAAUACUGGCACGAGUCCGAUAGUAGACAAGUACCGUGAGGGAAAGUUGAAAAGUACUCUGAAGAGAGAGUAAAUAGCACGUGAAGCCGGUUGCAGGGAAGCUGGUGGAGUCAAGCUUCAUGCUUGAGGGGUUUAUGUUAGCAACCCUGUGUUGUAUGGGCGUGUGGCUAGUCUACUUGGAAUAAGUUGGGCACAUCCGUGUGCUUCAAGUCAUUCUGGGUUGUGUGUUUGAGCUGGUCACAUCGUUCAGUUGCUAGCAUUCUAUCUCUCGUUGCAUAAAUCACGGUUGAUAGCUUUAUGCUGUGUGAUUGUCUAACUGUGCCACGGCGGGCCUGUGCUUGUCGGGUAUGGGAUGGCAGGUUGAGUCUGCGUGCCUUGUGUAUGUUGACUCUUAUAGUGGUUUUGACCAGCUGACUAUCAUGCAGUAUUGAAGUUAUCAUUGUUUUAUGGCGUACCGUCCUCGGACUGUGCGUCGGUUAGAACCGUGAUUCUGAGGUAGA
RNAcentral lists this ribosomal RNA (769 nucleotides) under Euryhaliotrema mehen. RNAcentral's name for it is "LSU rRNA". It matches the Rfam family "Eukaryotic large subunit ribosomal RNA", at positions 72 to 628 of the family's 3401-position model. The record is from RNAcentral. Lineage: Eukaryota; Metazoa; Platyhelminthes; Monogenea; Dactylogyridea; Ancyrocephalidae.